Non-coding RNA from Saccostrea cuccullata (small rock oyster), 135 nucleotides. RefSeq annotates it as small Cajal body-specific RNA 3. The transcript has a single exon. Lineage: Eukaryota; Metazoa; Mollusca; Bivalvia; Ostreida; Ostreidae. The record is from RefSeq and is a predicted model, not a curated record.
AAUGGAAGUUGUGUAAUAAAUACUACUGGUAUAGAAAGACAUUCUAUAUCAGUAAACAGACUUCCUAUAUAAACCUGAGGAUUCCUGGGAACUUCAGUAAGACAUGCUGCAGUUCUUCGUUCCCCCUUAAACAUG